GAAUGCUGACAUAAGUAACGAUAAAGCGGGUGAAAAGCCCGCUCGCCGGAAGACCAAGGGUUCCUGUCCAACGUUAAUCGGGGCAGGGUGAGUCGACCCCUAAGGCGAGGCCGAAAGGCGUAGUCGAUGGGAAACGGGUUAAUAUUCCCGUACUUGGUGUUACUGCGAAGGGGGGACGGAGAAGGCUAUGUUGGCCGGGCGACGGUUGUCCCGGUUUAAGCGUGUAGGUGUGUGUUCCAGGUAAAUCCGGUUCACUUUAACACUGAGGCGUGACGACGAGGCACUACGGUGCUGAAGCAACAAAUGCCCUGCUUCCAGGAAAAGCCUCUAAGCAUCAGGUAACAUCAAAUCGUACCCCAAACCGACACAGGUGGUCAGGUAGAGAAUACCAAGGCGCUUGAGAGAACUCGGGUGAAGGAACUAGGCAAAAUGGUGCCGUAACUUCGGGAGAAGGCACGCUGACACGUAGGUGAAGUGAUUUACUCAUGGAGCUGAAGUCAGUCGAAGAUACCAGCUGGCUGCAACUGUUUAUUAAAAACACAGCACUGUGCAAACACGAAAGUGGACGUAUACGGUGUGACGCCUGCCCGGUGCCGGAAGGUUAAUUGAUGGGGUCAGCGCAAGCGAAGCUCCUGAU
RNAcentral lists this ribosomal RNA (637 nucleotides) under Salmonella enterica. RNAcentral's name for it is "partial 23S ribosomal RNA". It matches the Rfam family "Bacterial large subunit ribosomal RNA", at positions 1292 to 1912 of the family's 2925-position model. Lineage: Bacteria; Pseudomonadati; Pseudomonadota; Gammaproteobacteria; Enterobacterales; Enterobacteriaceae. RNAcentral also lists the same sequence under 1 other name. The record is from RNAcentral.